GCCUCUAUAGCUCAGUGGCAGAGCGGCUGCCUUGUAAGCAGUAGGUCGGGGGUUCAAAUCCCUCUAGAGGCU
RNAcentral lists this transfer RNA (72 nucleotides) under uncultured archaeon. RNAcentral describes it as "tRNA-Thr(tgt)". It matches the Rfam family "tRNA". From Rfam's summary of the family: Transfer RNA (tRNA) molecules are approximately 80 nucleotides in length. Their secondary structure includes four short double-helical elements and three loops (D, anti-codon, and T loops). The record is from RNAcentral.